GAGAGCGGCGGCGGGGGGGGGGAAGCCCUCGUGCUGCGCCUCGUCUCGUGCGGCCUCCGGGCUGCUGCUCAGCUGUGUCGUUGCUAGCAAGAUGUGCACGGAAAUCUCUCUUCUUUAAAGAGAAUAUAAAAAUGAAAUGAAAAACCCGUUGUUGAUCGGCAAGAACUGCGAGACAUCACUUCAAUUUUAGCAGACAGCCGGGGAUCCUUGGUGUAAAAUAAGUAACAUUUUGAGAACGCGGUUUGGAGGCGACGGAUUUAUCCUUGCGUACUGACUUUGAACAGCUUGAAAGGGCAGAGAAGAGCCGGUAGAGCUGGCCAGCGGGGGGAGCGGUAACCCCGGAAGAGCCCUGAAGAGGCGGCGGCGCCUGCCCCUGCCCCGCCGCGGCCGGAGGAGGGCUGAGAAGAGCUGGCCCCCUUUCAUUUCUGCAGCGGUUCCCUUCUGACCGCUGUGCCCCGAGCGCGUACGAGCUGGUCGCCCAGGAUGUUGAAUCCCUUGCCGAAAAGGCAUUAGUGGCAGACGUUGCUUGACUUGGCUCUCUGCAAGUCAGGUCUCGGAGAUUGGCCUGGCCACCUGAGGCUGCAGCCCCAAAUCCCACGAAGCUGGUCCCCUUUGGGGCUCUAUGCACGUUGUCCCCGGAAGCUCAAGCAGACGAGAUGACAGACGAGUAGGAGUGAACUGACUGGGAGGGAAGAAAACCAGGCCCGCACAACAGGAGGCAAAGGUAUCCUUUUCUAUUUUCAUUGAACUACCUGUCUCCUUACACUUAUGAAGAAUGGAUUUUCAAAUAUGCCCAGAGAAACACGAGGAAUAAUAAGCCUAAGGCUAAAACUGGCUUUUGUUCUUGAAGUUUUCCAGACCGUUCGGCUUGUCCGUUGCCUGCUGAAGACGAACAGCACUUCUGCACAAUUAAGGGAGGCUUACGGUACCUUGAUCUUUCACAGCGACGCACGCCUGCCUCUUAGGCAUCACCAUAAUAGCGUGACAGAGUUUCCCUGCGUGCACCACAACAGGUCCAGAUCUAAAUGGGAAGUGUCCAGGCCUUGUCAGGACUGGCUGGCAGCUCGAGUGGGCACGUAAGGUGCUGCUGGCUCCUUCCUAGGAACAGGAUGGCGCGGUGUCUGGUGAGGGGUGUAAUACAGCAGCAGCCAAGUCUCAGACCAUCACAAUUUGAACUAAGGCAAGUGGACGCAUACUUCAGCUAGAGCAAGGGAUGUGCUCACAUGUACGUGCUCUUUCAUUCCCUGUCCCCCACCCCUCCAACCAGGCCUAGGAUGGGGGGUGGAGGGGGGGUGGCGAUGGCGGCACUGUGGAAUCUGGUGGGGCAGAUAAUUAGUGCUGUGUAUUUGGGGAGGGCAGAAGAAUGGGGGUAACCAGAGUGCCAGGCGGGGUGCCGCAAAGGGAGAUGCAGCAAACCUGAGGGGGGUGGGCAGGCAUCAUCAGAGGGAAAAAAACCCCAAAAAACAGCUGGCUUGAGUGGCAUCUUCCUUCCUUCCUUCCUUAUGGAAAGACCUCCACCCAAAGCCCCCAAACCCUACAAGUGCUGCUGCUUUGUGUAGUGCAGUGUUCAGACGGAUCUAAAACACAGUUACGGUCCACCCCCGUUACUCAGCAUGGUUUAAUAUUCUUAAUAAGCAUCAAGUGGUUUCGGAGCAAAGUUCUUCAUAAACCAUUCUUUCUGAAUACAGUUUGGCAUCACCUUGGUGGCUGCCUAGCAAUGCUAACAGACCAGAAAACGGCUGAAGGCAACGCUGUCCUCCCCCCAGCUCGGUUCACGGCACCGCUGAGUCCAGCUGCAGAAACAAACUGAUCCGGGCAGGGGGCAAAGGCAGGAGAUGGCCGUUUCCUUGCUAGGGGCAGAUGUGCUGAGGCAAGAAGCAGAUGUGCGGGUCUGGGAGUGGGCGAUGUUGCUGUUGUUUAGUUUUGGUUUUCUUUUUUGUUUAAUUGUGGCUCUUUGGUAGCGGCAAAGGUUAAGAAGAAAACAAAAAUUAAAAGCCUGCAAAGAAUCAUGUCCAGCCAAGAGCAGAAGCUGCCAUUUGCCUGGUGAAACCAAACGGCUCCUUCUCGUGGUAGGAAAGUCCAUCAUCGAGAAUUCAAACGUGGAGCAACCUGAGGUGAGGGGGGCACAAACGAGAGGACUCUGGUUAAUAGUUAAGUGCAGUGGGAGCAAAAGUUACUCCCGUCUUGAUCCAGUCAUUCAAGAGGCCUGCGAGCCUUGCACAUAAGGCAGGAUGUCACGUAUUCAGCUUCAGCGCUGUCGGUGGAGGCUGGAGGACCCUCCUCAGACCAAGCUGAUGCCCCCUUCCCAUCAGAAACAGAGCUUCUGGGACCAGCUGCUGCACAACUGGAAGAGGCCUAGAGGAGCACGCUGCAGGUUUUGCCGCAGCAGGAGCACAACACGCACCUGGUGAUUGAGGUGGUGUCGCAGACCUCUGACACCGAAGCCAAGUGAGAGAACCCAUGGCAUCUGACACUUGGCGGGCCUUGCCGGGUACUGUCAUGGUAGACGAAGGCCCAGUUGUCCAGUGUAAGGAGCUGGAAGAGGGCGAAGACGCUGUCCAGCAAGUUCCCGAAGCACACGGGCUCUGUGUGCAUAAACAGGUCAUGCAGCAGCACUGAGAGGAUGACCAGGGGCUAGGUUAAAGCAACCACGCAGGCUUGGUUCCCCUGCCCUGAGCAGCCCCGGACCCUCUCCAAGGCUGCGUGGAUACAGAGGCAGGUGAACGUGAGCAACAGGAUGGUGCUGCUGGAGUGACCCACGAGCACAAAGGUGCCGGUCAGCUCCUGCAGGCUUUCCAGUGCCCUGCACAGACGGGGGCACAGAUGCAAAGACCCCUGGGACCACUCCCACCUGGGACCCCAGAGGCUGUGGGGUCAGCAUUGGAAGGGUAGCAGACAGGGUCUUUGGUCAGCUGGGAGGUCGAGGGUUAGUGUG
This is a long non-coding RNA of Alligator mississippiensis (American alligator), 2935 nucleotides long. RefSeq lists it as uncharacterized. The transcript is spliced from 3 exons. NCBI's taxonomy places the organism in Eukaryota, Metazoa, Chordata, Crocodylia, Alligatoridae. The record is from RefSeq and is a predicted model, not a curated record.